This is a long non-coding RNA of Centruroides sculpturatus (bark scorpion), 791 nucleotides long. RefSeq lists it as uncharacterized. The record is from RefSeq and is a predicted model, not a curated record. Lineage: Eukaryota; Metazoa; Arthropoda; Arachnida; Scorpiones; Buthidae. The transcript is spliced from 6 exons.
UAGAAAAAUAACAGACGAUAACGCUAUGCUUUCGAGAGUUUCUACUACAAGUCGUCUGCUACUGUCUUCCAUUUUGUUUUUUUUUUCCCCCUCACUUUUCUAUCUCAAUUUCGUUUCGUUCAAGAUAUAAUUUGGCAACUGCACAAGAAAAACUGAUGCAAAAAAUGUUUUAUAUAUAAAAAAAAAGAAUGAUGUAAUGAAAAGUAACAUAUGGAUUCACGAAAGUGUCGUUAAUAAGGACGUCGUACGGUAAUAAUGCGAUCAUAGAAUAUUAUACGUCUAACGACGAAGUACAGUACUAUAGAAGGUGUCUUGUAUCUUCACUUCUGUUGACUACGGCCAAUAAGAAAUUCGAAGUUUUACAGCUGGAUUUGGAGCAUGGAUCGAAGAAGGAUGGUGAUACGGAAUAUUAAAGACAUUCAAGAUCAUGUUCACAAUAGUCAGAAGGCACUAGCCAUCAUGUACAUCAAGUGGAUCUCCAGUGUAUCCGGCAGGGCAACGGCAGAUGGCAACAUGAUUCUGUGCAAUACAUUCAGCGGUUGGGCUACAAUCUGCAUAAAGGCACACAACUGCAAAGAAAUUUAUACACAUCUCCUUAUUCCAUCUGUGCCAGGUCGACAGACUUGAUCAUGAGAGCAUCCACUAUCUCCCACACAUUCAUGAGACUUACGCUUGCAACCAUGGAGAAAAUCAACUGGAUUUCCAGUGUAUCCAGGAUUACAUUCACAAACUGGUUGAUGUGCUCGUCCUAUACAUUGGGCAUUUGGUCCACAACGUGUACUUUUACAGAC